CGUCUAACCAGUGCCUCCGUAAUCCACCAUCACCGUGAGGCAGAGAACCGAUGGGAGGGGGAGUGAGAAUGCCGCCAGGGGCGAUUCGAGCAUGCGACGCCGGCAGGACAUCACUAUGAGGCUUGGGAAGUUUGCCGAGCCCUCAGGAAUGUGUUCGUGAAAUUCUCGAAGGAGGAACGCCACCAGGCUCACCGAAAUUUCUCACUGUGUCUGCUACGUCGUUGUGGAUCCGCCCUACGCCGAGGACGAGACAUAAGCACCACUGAAUUCACGAUAGGGAUCUUCUCAACUGUUUCGUCUUGGUCCAUACGUCGUGUAGCGUGUGUCGGAUGGGAGUUUGCUCUCUUGGGUUGAGUGUUACCUGCUUCAGCCAUGGCACCGCCGCAGGAUUUGUGCGUUACCGCCUCUGCAAUGGUUGGGCCGCCGUGGGGGAGUCGAGACGGGUCAGGGUUCUUUCUGGUCUGUGUUGAGGUUCGCUACGGCGACACGCGCUCACGUCCCAGCGAGCUCACCUCGUCGGCGGCCAAGGGCAUCAUCUGCACGGAGAUUGCAAGGAAUCGAAGAUGUCUCCGUGACUCCAUCGUCAUGAGCAGUGGGCGGCCGCGGCGACGAGCGACAACAGAGCUUCAAGGAAAGGUACGCGUCAAGCCUGUCGAUGAACUUCGGAGACGGUGGGCGUCAGAUAUUGCUCUACGUGUUGAUGCUGAUCCCCUUAAGGACCUACGGGUGAAGGGCUCCAUCUCACGUUUUUGGGGAUAUGGCGAUGAGUGCAAUGAGGAUUAUCUGCAGGAGUCUGGAUCAGUUGAAACACCAUCCAAAUCAUUGAUUGUAAAAAAGGCAUAUAUGGCUGGAUACUCCUUUCAGGAUUUGGUUCAGGCAGAUCGAUAUCUUGACAGCUCUACUAUCAGUGCACAAGUAUCUGCCAUUGAAACACCAUCUGAUUUGGGGAGCAAAGGCAAAUUCGUCAGAAACCUACUGACAGACCUUGUUACAAACAAAAAAAAGACAGGUAAACCAUGGCAAGGUCCCCUUCCGGCUCCAAGGAUUUCUCCACCUUUAACACUUGCAGACUGUCCGUUCCGUGUUAAUCAUAGAUUCCAACGAAUUGGUGAGCAGGGAUCAGGUAACAUGGUGACAAUCAGUGACCAGAGCUGGGGAAGGAAGAGUGAUGCUGCUCAAAAUUUGAAACUCCACGCGAGAUUUCAGGCUUCAGUUACAGAAGGCAGCACCUCAAAAAAAGGAAACACCAAGUUCAGGCCAAAUUGGGCCCUUGCACGCCUGUUGACCAGACGGGGCAAGUUUUUUGGCAAAGCCCAGCCCACAAACGUUUGCCCCAAAGGUGUCAUACCCUACGUACCACCACUGCCCAGAUUUGCAGCCGCCGUCAAUUCUCCUACUCUCCCAGUUUUGCCUUCACACAAGCCACCAUACAAAUCUUACGCCGAGGUUGUGAGACGAGGGGUUAAGGCAAUGGAGGACAGAGGCAAAACUGGAUUCUCUGGAUAUGGAGCAGGCAGAGCUUUGGGUCACAAUGAAGGUGAUCGAAUGGAGCUUCGGCUAGGACAGGUCCAGGGGAACAACGCUGGCUUUGGGCAGGGAAGUGGACCUUUUCAGCCGGCAACAAUGCUUGGGGGUAAUUGCCAGCAGAUUGCUCCAAAUUUUGGAGGUUCGUUUUUUGGGCAAGGGAAUUUGGUGUUUGGUCAGCGCUUGCAAGGUUCGCAGUUAGGGUUCAAUCAAGGAUUUGGUGGCAGCACUGGAGGCAAUAGGGAUUUGUCUUGGACACAUGGGCGAGAUCAUCGUGCUCGGUCUGCGCAUGCACCCCGUGCUGGGAAGUUCAGUGCCAACAAACAUGUUGUAGAGGGUGGGAAAUUGGAGAAUUCUCUGCAACACCAGGGGCAGCGCACCAAUAAAAUGAUGCAGAACAAUGCUGAACCUGAACCUAUGAAGCUGAAUGCAAAACGGAUAAUGGAAGAAAUGGUUGACAAUAGGCAUGACAAAAAAAGGAUGGAGAAGCAAGAUGAGAAUGUAAUAGUUCAGGAUGCUAUAAAGAUCACUCCAGGGAUUGAGGCACCAAAAGGUAAACCAAAAUGGUGUUUCCGGUGUAGAACUAAGGGGCAUGCUACAACAGAAUGUACCGCGAUCCUUUUCUGCAAUAUAUGUGAGGGAGGUGAUCAUGUAGCAGCCACUUGCCCCAUCAAGAAAAAACCUCGACCGGUGGCUCUCUCAGUCGGUUAUGCUGUGGAUGGUUUAGGUUUCUUUCAUAUUCCACAUGGGCCGAUUUCUACUACCAAAAAUGAAAAGAAUAUGGCACUAAUCAAAGUUAUAGGAGGUGCACUUCAACAAGCAGAUUUGGUUGCCCACUUACAGCGGCUGGUGCCUGGAAAGUUUGAAUGGGAUGCGCAACUGCAUGCACCAAAUAAAUGGGUAACAUCCUUUCCUUCAAAAGUAGAAUUAAAGCGAACAGUGAAUUUUGGUUCUGCUGAUCUAAAGAAUGGCUUAGUGUUAAAAUUUGAAGAAUUUGAGGAGGAAUACUUUGGAGUGGAACUGCCUCGUGUGUGGAUGCGGGUACUGAAUUUACCUAACGUACUUCGAACAUAUGAGGUGUUGUGGGCUAUUGGAACGAUGAUUGGAGCUACUACAAAGGUGGAUAUGAUCACUACUCGAAAGAGUAAUUUUGGUCGAUUUGAGGUGGCUGUUCUAAACACAUCAAUAGUGCCUACACAGAUAGAUGUUGUCAUUGGCACAAGAUGGUUUGAAUUACAACUUCAAAUUGAGAGCACAAGUUCUUCUUCAGGGACAAGAACGACUGAGGAUAAUGGUAACGCUAAUGGCGACAAUCAGGAAAAAGGCAAUGACUCAGAAAUGAAGGAUGAAGAAGCUGGUGCUAAGGAUCAUAAGUCCUCUCAUUCAAAUGUUUCUUUUUCAGUUAAAGGAGCAGGGACCUCUAAAGGACAGCAGGUUGAUGAUGGUUCCAUUGAGGAUUUAGAGGAAGAUGGUUUAUUGGAUGUUGGUUGGGAGGUGGCAGAUGGUCCUACUACUGAUUUACCCUCUGAAUUGUAUCUAGAUAAUUAUGUAGUCCAAAAAGACAACAACAAUAUUCAAAUUCAGAAAAAUAUGGGCAAUGAUGUUGAGCAGAUGCAACCCCAUGUACAGGCUAAUUUAAGGAAAAAUCGCUUGUUCACAAUCAGUGAAACACAUGCUGAAUCACAACCUACAACAAUACAAACAAAGCAAAACCAGAAAGAAGAUGAUCGCGGCAUCGAAGCUACUGCAUCAGAUGCCCUAGGUCCUUUGCUAGAUAGGGCCUUGACAGAGCUUAAAGAAAGGCAGUUUCCACAUAAUGGCAGCACAGAGGAUGGUCAAGUUCUAACUGACAACCAGCUACACACUCCACCAUACCAGGUGAAAAAAGCUAUAAUGCUAGGACACCGAAGAGGAGGAGUAAAAGGAGGGAGGACUCUGUCAACGAAGAUUCCAUCGAACGUGCUGAAAGGUUGGUGGCAAAAAGGAAUUUGGAGAAUUCUAAAGGUAGUGUUCAGAGGAACCCACUGGAUAAGACAAUGGUCCGUGUUGCAAAAAGAGGAAAACAUGACACAAAUCAAGUGGG
This 3607-nucleotide unclassified non-coding RNA is filed under the name Zea mays. Its description in RNAcentral is "misc RNA Zm00001eb058030". Lineage: Eukaryota; Viridiplantae; Streptophyta; Magnoliopsida; Poales; Poaceae. The record is from RNAcentral.